This 771-nucleotide long non-coding RNA is filed under the name Malus domestica (apple). RNAcentral's name for it is "long non-coding RNA (MDOM_LNC008255)". Lineage: Eukaryota; Viridiplantae; Streptophyta; Magnoliopsida; Rosales; Rosaceae. The record is from RNAcentral.
GUGGUGGUGCUCCGUGGUGGCAAAAUUGCUCUUAUUGCCAUUGUGUUGAGUCUUGUGGAUAGUCGUGGUGGGGCUAUGCCUCGAUCUUCAUCACUUGGUUCAAAUCCUUGAACGUAGGGAGUUUCGUUCAUUAUGGUUUCCGAAUUUCCUGUCAUUAUAUUUUUCCCUUACCUCUAUUCAAAGAAUUAAAAAAAAAUUAGGAAUAAGAAAGUAUGAAAAAUUUACGAACGAACAAAAAAUGAAAAACUUUGAAUGCGAGAGUCUUCUUCAAGCAUUUGAAUCAAGCUCUCAAUGAAAGCACCAAUUUGUGGAUGCAAAUUUUCGCCGUCUUCUCCUUUGACGAAAAUGUACCUGCAAAAUAAUAACACCUAAGAUUAAGGCCAAAAGCCUCAUGCGCCCAUGAUGAAUUGGGAGGCUUUGGUCGAAGAUUCUCUGAUACCAAAGUUAGAAUUCUGAAAAGAAUGUGUUUAGGAGUUUAUGGGUAACAUAUGGCUUGACUUUUUAGUGGGAUAAUAUGACUAUUUAUAGGGGAGUGGCCGGCCCUAUUUGGAGAAUAGUGGCCAACCAUAUAUGGUGUAAUUGGGUGAAUAAUUGCAAGAUAUUAUGUGAAAUAAUAUCUUGCAAUUAACAUGGCUAUUAAUCUUAAAUUAAAUAGGAAAUUUGAGAGUUACCUUUUGAAUAAGGCUUUGAUGAGGAGUGAUGAGAGGAAUUUGAAUAAAUACAAUUUUAAUCACCUUUGACUCUUCCUUGAUUGAGCCGUUAUUGUCUGUU